AUUGAACGCUGGCGGCAGGCCUAACACAUGCAAGUCGAGCGGAUGAAGGGAGCUUGCUCCUGGAUUCAGCGGCGGACGGGUGAGUAAUGCCUAGGAAUCUGCCUGGUAGUGGGGGAUAACGUCCGGAAACGGGCGCUAAUACCGCAUACGUCCUGAGGGAGAAAGUGGGGGAUCUUCGGACCUCACGCUAUUAGAUGAGCCUAGGUCGGAUUAGCUAGUUGGUGGGGUAAAGGCCUACCAAGGCGACGAUCCGUAACUGGUCUGAGAGGAUGAUCAGUCACACUGGAACUGAGACACGGUCCAGACUCCUACGGGAGGCAGCAGUGGGGAAUAUUGGACAAUGGGCGAAAGCCUGAUCCAGCCAUGCCGCGUGUGUGAAGAAGGUCUUCGGAUUGUAAAGCACUUUAAGUUGGGAGGAAGGGCAGUAAGUUAAUACCUUGCUGUUUUGACGUUACCAACAGAAUAAGCACCGGCUAACUUCGUGCCAGCAGCCGCGGUAAUACGAAGGGUGCAAGCGUUAAUCGGAAUUACUGGGCGUAAAGCGCGCGUAGGUGGUUCAGCAAGUUGGAUGUGAAAUCCCCGGGCUCAACCUGGGAACUGCAUCCAAAACUACUGAGCUAGAGUACGGUAGAGGGUGGUGGAAUUUCCUGUGUAGCGGUGAAAUGCGUAGAUAUAGGAAGGAACACCAGUGGCGAAGGCGACCACCUGGACUGAUACUGACACUGAGGUGCGAAAGCGUGGGGAGCAAACAGGAUUAGAUACCCUGGUAGUCCACGCCGUAAACGAUGUCGACUAGCCGUUGGGAUCCUUGAGAUCUUAGUGGCGCAGCUAACGCGAUAAGUCGACCGCCUGGGGAGUACGGCCGCAAGGUUA
RNAcentral lists this ribosomal RNA (873 nucleotides) under uncultured Pseudomonadales bacterium. RNAcentral describes it as "bacterial SSU rRNA". It matches the Rfam family "Bacterial small subunit ribosomal RNA", at positions 28 to 896 of the family's 1533-position model. Lineage: Bacteria; Pseudomonadati; Pseudomonadota; Gammaproteobacteria; Pseudomonadales. The record is from RNAcentral.